GAUGAACGCUGGCGGCGUGCCUAAUACAUGCAAGUCGAGCGAACGGACGAGAAGCUUGCUUUUCUGAUGUUAGCGGCGGACGGGUGAGUAACACGUGGAUAACCUACCUAUAAGACUGGGAUAACUUCGGGAAACCGGAGCUAAUACCGGAUAAUAUUUUGAACCGCAUGGUUCAAAAGUGAAAGACGGUCUUGCUGUCACUUAUAGAUGGAUCCGCGCUGCAUUAGCUAGUUGGUAAGGUAACGGCUUACCAAGGCAACGAUGCAUAGCCGACCUGAGAGGGUGAUCGGCCACACUGGAACUGAGACACGGUCCAGACUCCUACGGGAGGCAGCAGUAGGGAAUCUUCCGCAAUGGGCGAAAGCCUGACGGAGCAACGGCGCGUGAGUGAUGAAGGUCUUCGGAUCGUAAAACUCUGUUAUUAGGGAAGAACAUAUGUGUAAGUAACUGUGCACAUCUUGACGGUACCUAAUCAGAAAGCCACGGCUAACUACGUG
RNAcentral lists this ribosomal RNA (497 nucleotides) under uncultured bacterium. RNAcentral describes it as "partial 16S ribosomal RNA". It matches the Rfam family "Bacterial small subunit ribosomal RNA", at positions 28 to 507 of the family's 1533-position model. The record is from RNAcentral.